Molecule: small nuclear RNA, 274 nt
Filed under: Castor canadensis (American beaver)
Lineage: Eukaryota; Metazoa; Chordata; Mammalia; Rodentia; Castoridae
Description: 7SK RNA (ENSCCNG00000014067.1)
Rfam family: 7SK RNA
About the family: 7SK was discovered as an abundant small nuclear RNA in the mid-70s but a possible function has only recently been suggested.
Source: Rfam by way of RNAcentral
GGUUGUGAGGCCAUUCUGGUUGUGACUUCUGUCACUCCACUGAUUGCCAGGGUUGAUUUGCUGAUCUGGCUGGCAAGGGGAGUGGCCUUUUCCUCUAUCACUACUCUCCUUUUGUCCCUCCUGAAGCUAUAUGCUUGGUCAAAGAAGACAACCUUCCCCCACAGAAAAGGAAUAUGCUUUCAUCAAGGGUACAUGAGUAGAUGCCUUCCCAAGCUCCUAAAGAAGAAAUGUUAGACCCCUACCAACAGGAAUGUAUCUGCCUCUUCCUGUAUUC